Vicia faba (fava bean) is the source of this 273-nucleotide non-coding RNA. Lineage: Eukaryota; Viridiplantae; Streptophyta; Magnoliopsida; Fabales; Fabaceae. The record is from the annotation of a GenBank genome assembly.
AUGGCCCUAAUUUUGGUAUCAUCAUUUUCCCUCACUCAAAAACCCUUCAGAAUACAUAGAAAGAGAAGAGGAAAAGAAGCUUUCAAAAAGUCAAAAAGAUAUUACCGAGAGAGCACUCGAUCGACUGGAAAAUUCACAAAUCAUUCAUCGCUACCUCAUCAUCCUCGCCGUUCUUUUUUUAUCAAAUCAGCAACCAGUUCAGAAACAAGAAGUUUCCAGCUUACAAAACCCAUCCUAGAAAAUAAUGCAGAAAAAAAACCAAAAGGAAAUUAG